This 3616-nucleotide long non-coding RNA is filed under the name Lactuca sativa (garden lettuce). Its description in RNAcentral is "long non-coding RNA (LSAT_LNC007226)". The record is from RNAcentral. Lineage: Eukaryota; Viridiplantae; Streptophyta; Magnoliopsida; Asterales; Asteraceae.
GAAGAUGUCUGAAGAUGUUAAAAGACUUUGGUUCACAUCUGCGCCAAGAAAAGGGCGCACAAACAUUUUUAGGUCUGCAGUUUUCAAAUAAACAAACAGUCUACGAAAGAUAAUGUAUGUGCGUGGUCUGCGCCGCGCAGACUGAAAAGGCCAAAAAGAUCUGCGGACAAAAAACAAACACUACCUUAAUGAUACCACCUUAAUGAUGACAUUCAAUUUAUACACACACCAGGACACACAAAAGUAGGGGUGAGCAAAAACCGCACCGCAACUAAAAUUAACCGCAAAAACCGCAACCGCAAUANCCGCAAUAAAAACCGAUAGUGAGGUUUUCUGUUUUUCAAAAACCGCAAAUUUGCGGUGCGGUGCGGUUAUUAGUUUCCAAAAACCGCAAAAAAACCGCACCGCACCGCAUAUAUUAUAUACAAUUUUUUUUUAUCAAUUAUUAGUUUAUUAAAUAUUAAAAAUAAGACAAGUUUCAUGAAUGAGAGACAAAUAAAAUAGUAGAAAACAAAAAUGUUGGUUUUUUUUAUGUUUAACUUUGAAAAUAAUGAAAUUAGAUAAUUUUAAGAUACUUAUUGUUAAUUACUAAUGAUUUGACGUUUUUAAGAUAUUAGUUGUUUGUGGUUUAAGUUAAAUAGUUAAUUGUCUUAUACCUUAUGUUUUUUUUUAUUAUUACAAGUAAUAUGUUUGAACUUUUAAAACUAUUUGAGCUCUAAACUAGGAUUAAAAACCACACAAAUUAAUCGCAACAAAUCCAUGCGGUUAAUAACCGCAACACAGAAAAAACAAAACCGCACCGCAAAAAUAACCGCCUAACCGCACCGCAAAAAUAACCGCACUAUACGGUUUUGAAAAUGGAUUAACCGCAUUUGCGGUUAGUGGUGAGGUUUUGGCUAAUAACCGCACCGAACUGCACCGCGCUCAACCCUACACAAAAGUGAGUAGACAACCGAUUAUUUGAUUAUUACAACUUUGAUUAUUACAACCGAUUAUAAUUAUUUUGUAUUAAAUAGUCACUUUCAGAACGCACAUCCAAAUAAUAUGUUUUAUAAACAAUUGAUAAUUUAUAUGGACAAGAUCAGUCUGCUUGUUUUACAAGCCCUUAAAGGUUUGGCAAUGGAGGAAUCUAAGCUGACAGUUUAUGAGAUAUUUAACUUUUAUUCAGUUAUAACGCAUUUGAUCUCUAUAAUUUUGACAAAAUAAAAUUUAUCUAGUUAUAUUAAAAAAGUUAAUUAUUGAUUUUAUACACUAAGUUAUCAACAUUCUAUAAGGGAAUCUCAAACCCAACACUAAACUAAUAGCAUUUUUUGCACCACUUUGCUUGAACCAACACCAUUUUUUGCAUCAUUUUGGGGUACAUGAUUAUUAAUAUACUAUUAAAUUUGAUGUUAUACCAUUUUUUGCAUCAUUUUUGUGUACAAGAUUAUUAAUAUAAAAUUAAAUUUGGUGUUACAUCAACUUUCAUAUGUCAAUAUUGGUGUAGUACAAAUUAUUGGUGUUAUGUGUUGCAAAUGUCUAAAGAAAGAAAGCUUAUAACCUAAAAUAAAAAGGUUAAUUACAUAAAGACCCUAUAUAUUUAUUGGGUUUUUUUUUACAGAUUAAACUUUAUUUUUUCCUGAAAAAUCCUUUACAUUGUUUCAUUUUUUCGGUAUGAUCUUUUACUUUUUAGUAUGUUUAUUGGUAAUCUUCUGGUUUUAUACAAAGAUGUAAAGGUUAUUUUUUAGAAAAAAAAAAUAAGUUAAUGUUUAAUCCAAAAAACAUUGGUAAUCUUCUGGUUUUAUACAAAGAUGUAAAGGUUAUUUUUUAGAAAAAAAAAAAAUAAAGUUAAUGUUUAAUCCAAAAAAAUGAAAAGAUGUAAGGGCUAAAUCAAAAAAAUGGAAAAACAUAAGGACCAAGUUAGAAGGCUUUUUCGAAAAAAAAAAAAAAAAAAAAAAAAAAACGAAGUUGAAUUUUUAGAAGGCUUUUUAUUGAAAGUCCUGGAUUUUGUUCCUUCUUUCAAAUUUAAAGUUUUUCGUCCCUUAAAAAAUAUUUUCCUUUUCGUCCCUUGAAUUAAAACUGUCAGUUUUUUUCCUACCUAAUAUAAAAAUGAACAUUAAUAACUAAUUUCAUACUUCAUAAAGAUACAACAUUGUUUGGAGAAGUAAUCAUUAAAAUAUAAAACUUGUAUGCCAUAUUUUAUUUCCAAUUUUCAGUGGUUAUAGUGUUAUACAGUUUGGAUAGUGUUGCUAUGUUGCUUGAGGUAGAAUUCGAGUGGAUAUUACCAAGUACAUACUUUUGUCCCACCCAAAAAGAUGGGAUAAAGACUUGUUUUUGUCAAAAGGUGUUAAUGCCCUCAUCUUCACUUUCAAAAAUAAACUUAGAAUCAUGUAUCGUGUAAGUUGUAACAAACAUCAAAAAUAACAACAAAAAGUUAUGUUUGUUACAUAGGACAUGAUUAAAUAAAUGAGUGUAUCAGUAAAAGAUUGCUUUAAUGUUGUGGAUAGGGCAUGGAAGGAGAAAAUAUCAAAGGGAACUUGAAUACAACAUGUUGUAGUGUGUUGAACACCCCAACUUUAUUAUAAUUAACUUUUUUUUAAGUAGUAGUUACAAAAAGGAUUAAAAAGUCAAUGUCCGUAUGUACAUAAAUGUUAAACAAAAAAUUAACACAAACUAUUUUUUAGUAUAUGAUUAUUGAAAUUCAAAUUGCAAACCCCAUCGACAAAAUUACAUACCAAACCAACGGAGACACGAAAUUGAAUUAUUCGAGUUCAAAUGCCAAUUUCUUUGAUUGAAUUUCUUCGAUUUAAAAUUGUUUGACAAAAUUCCGGCGUAAUAGAAGCAAAUAAAAUCAUCAGUGAUUUAGUGAUCAGAAAUAAUACAAUAAAAUCAAAUAAGAUAAUUAAAAAAAGAUCAAAAAACAGUCUUGACAUAAAACAGUUAAAGUCGAGGAAAAAAGCGAUAAAAAAAAAAAAAAAAAAAAAANGGGAAAAAAAAAGAAAAAAAAAAAAAAAAAAAAAAAAAACGAAUUAAAAAAUGCAACAAAAAAAACGAAUUAAUAAAAUUAUACGCAGUGAAUCAACGACCUUUUUCACAAAGUUUGAAGUGUGUGUAUGUCUAAGAAGAAUAUACGAGGCUCAGAUCUGUUUUACCUUCGGAACAAGAAGAUUAAACCGCCAUGGCUGCAAAUACAGAGGUUGCAUUCUCACAAUCGCCGUCCUCCGAUUAUAUGCCCUGCCAAGCUGCGGAUAAUCUCAAAUCAUGUCCCGAUUUUGAAUCAGAUCACGUUUAAUCAUCAUAGCCUCAUAUUUGUGGACAAUAAUUUUGGACGGAAGGAGUAUAAUAUGAAGAAAAGAUAGGAGGAUAUUUAAUUUCUCUAUAUCUAUAUAUAUAUAUAUCAGCAAAAGCUGUACCAGAGGGUUGUUGGAGCUUUAAAGAAUGACAAUGGAAAUCAUCGGCGUCGAGAGGCGGCAACCGCCCUUGGAAACCCUUCUUCCUCUCACAGCCUCAUUCUUUGAGCCGUAAAACAGAAAUCCCUAGCUUUCAUCCGGUUACUAUAUAGUCUAUAAAGUUAUAUUAAGGCCAUCGAUUUGGGUUACCAAUUGGAUCUUUGGAUCUACUUUAAUUUGUCAUUUAU